Molecule: ribosomal RNA, 250 nt
Filed under: uncultured bacterium
Lineage: Bacteria
Description: partial 16S ribosomal RNA
Rfam family: Bacterial small subunit ribosomal RNA
Source: RNAcentral
UACGGAGGGUGCAAGCGUUAUCCGGAUUCACUGGGUUUAAAGGGUGCGUAGGUGGGCAAGUAAGUCAGUGGUGAAAUCUCCGGGCUUAACCCGGAAACUGCCAUUGAUACUAUUUGUCUUGAAUACCAUGGAGGUGAGCGGAAUAUGUCAUGUAGCGGUGAAAUGCUUAGAUAUGACAUAGAACACCAAUUGCGAAGGCAGCUCGCUACGCGGUUAUUGACACUGAGGCACGAAAGCGUGGGGAUCAAAC